This 194-nucleotide non-coding RNA is filed under the name Gemelliphila asaccharolytica. RNAcentral's name for it is "Gemella asaccharolytica T-box sequence". It matches the Rfam family "T-box leader". From Rfam's summary of the family: Uncharged tRNA acts as the effector for transcription antitermination of genes in the T-box leader family. T-boxes are found upstream of many aminoacyl-tRNA synthetase genes and some amino acid biosynthetic genes usually in Gram-positive bacteria. The anticodon of a specific tRNA base pairs to a specifier sequence within the T-box motif, and the NCCA acceptor tail of the tRNA base pairs to a conserved bulge in the T-box antiterminator hairpin. The record is from RNAcentral. Lineage: Bacteria; Bacillati; Bacillota; Bacilli; Caryophanales; Gemellaceae.
AUAUAAACGUUGAAGAAGAAAAGUAAUAUAUAAUUUAAUUAUAGCGAGUCGACGACGGUGCAAGGUUGAUAUUAAUUAUAUACGAACGUACUUUGGAGUUAAUUUUAAAAAAAUUGGUAUUUCUGCCUUAAAGAAUUUGAGUGGAUAUAUUAUUAUAUCAAUAAGAGUGGUAACGCGGAUAUUUCGUCUCUUUA